Molecule: long non-coding RNA, 701 nt
Filed under: Ananas comosus (pineapple)
Lineage: Eukaryota; Viridiplantae; Streptophyta; Magnoliopsida; Poales; Bromeliaceae
Description: long non-coding RNA (ACOM_LNC028073)
Source: RNAcentral
CGAAGCACACCAAGUCGACAAACAGUCGAUUCUAACUAAAGUUCAACUCUCGUAUUUCUAGAAUUCACUUCCUUACAACAUGGACAUGAACCCCCUCAAUAGGAGGGUGGGAAGGAAGGAAAUAAUAGGUAGGGAGAUUCGGCUCCUAUUGUAACAUACCGGAUUUUGAUAUAAAAGUAAAAAUAAAUAAAAAUAGUGUGAGAUGCUAUUUUUAUUGGAUUUAGAGAAGUAAAAAAUAAGUCAGAAGUGACUUGUGCUGAAAUCGGAACGAAAAUAGAAGAUUUAGAAUUUUCUGUGAGAAANGGUGGGAAGGAAGGAAAUAAUAGGUAGGGAGAUUCGGCUCCUAUUGUAACAUACCGGAUUUUGAUAUAAAAGUAAAAAUAAAUAAAAAUAGUGUGAGAUGCUAUUUUUAUUGGAUUUAGAGAAGUAAAAAAUAAGUCAGAAGUGACUUGUGCUGAAAUCGGAACGAAAAUAGAAGAUUUAGAAUUUUCUGUGAGAAAUGGGGCUGAAAAAUUAGCAGAAAAUACACAGUGUCAGAAAAUUAUGAAACUGAUAUGUCAAAAUUAUUUUUAUGAGGCUAGAUUUAAAGUUUCAUGCCAUUUUAACACCCGGAAAGUGAAAAAUAAAAUCCGACUGCUGCUAUUUGCUAGAGAUUACAGUUUAGUAGAGCUUUCAGUGACCAAACAGGGUCGAAACUGAAA